AGUGAACGCUGGCGGUAGGCUUAACACAUGCAAGUCGAACGGCAGCACCGUAAGUGCUUGCUCUUACGGGUGGCGAGUGGCGGACGGGUGAGGAAUACAACGGAAUCUACUUUUUCGUGGGGGUUCACGUAGGGAAACUUACGCUCAUACCGCAUACGACCUACGGGUGAAAGCAGGGGAUCUUUGGACCUUGCGCGAUUGAAUGCGCCGAUGUUGGAUUGGCUAGUUGGCGGGGUAAAGGCCCACCAAGUCGACGAUCGGUAGCUGGACUGAGAGGAUGAUCAGCGACACUGGAAGUGAGACGGGGUCCAGAGUCCUGAGGGAGGCAGCAGUGGGGAAUAGUGGACAAUGGGGGCGAGCCUGAUCCAGCCAUAGCGCGUGGGUGAAGGAGGCGUUGGGGGUGGAAAGCCCUUUUGUUGGGAAAGAAAAGCAGCAGGUUAAUACCCCGCUGUUCUGACGGUACCCAAAGAAUAAGCACCGGCUAACUUCGUG
RNAcentral lists this ribosomal RNA (492 nucleotides) under uncultured bacterium. RNAcentral's name for it is "partial 16S ribosomal RNA". It matches the Rfam family "Bacterial small subunit ribosomal RNA", at positions 30 to 507 of the family's 1533-position model. The record is from RNAcentral.